RNAcentral lists this non-coding RNA (23 nucleotides) under Cricetulus griseus (Chinese hamster). Lineage: Eukaryota; Metazoa; Chordata; Mammalia; Rodentia; Cricetidae. The record is from RNAcentral.
UAUUUAGCAAGUUCUCUGCCCGG